This 60-nucleotide transfer RNA is filed under the name Cricetulus griseus (Chinese hamster). It matches the Rfam family "tRNA", at positions 7 to 64 of the family's 71-position model. From Rfam's summary of the family: Transfer RNA (tRNA) molecules are approximately 80 nucleotides in length. Their secondary structure includes four short double-helical elements and three loops (D, anti-codon, and T loops). The record is from Rfam by way of RNAcentral. Lineage: Eukaryota; Metazoa; Chordata; Mammalia; Rodentia; Cricetidae.
GUAGCUCAGUUGGUAGAGUGUUUGCCUAGUGUGCACAAAAUUCUAGGUUUGAUCCCUAGC